This 440-nucleotide ribosomal RNA is filed under the name uncultured bacterium. RNAcentral describes it as "bacterial SSU rRNA". It matches the Rfam family "Bacterial small subunit ribosomal RNA", at positions 339 to 796 of the family's 1533-position model. The record is from RNAcentral.
CUACGGGAGGCAGCAGUGGGGAAUAUUGGACAAUGGGGGCAACCCUGAUCCAGCGACGCCGCGUGGGUGACGAAGGCCUUAGGGUUGUAAAGCCCUUUUCUCGGGGAAGAUGAUGACGGUACCUGAGGAAUAAGCACCGGCUAACUCCGUGCCAGCAGCCGCGGUAAGACGGAGGGUGCUAGCGUUGUUCGGAAUUACUGGGCGUAAAGGGCGCGUAGGCGGCCUGGCAAGUCGGAUGUGAAAGCCCGGGGCUCAACCUCGGAACGGCAUUCGAAACUGCUGGGCUAGAGGACGGAAGAGGAGAGUGGAAUACCCAGUGUAGAGGUGAAAUUCGUAGAUAUUGGGUGGAACACCGGUGGCGAAAGCGGCUCUCUGGUCCGGCUCUGACGCUGAGGCGCGAAAGCGUGGGGAGCAAACAGGAUUAGAUACCCUAGUAGUCC